This 497-nucleotide ribosomal RNA is filed under the name uncultured bacterium. Its description in RNAcentral is "partial 16S ribosomal RNA". It matches the Rfam family "Bacterial small subunit ribosomal RNA", at positions 28 to 507 of the family's 1533-position model. The record is from RNAcentral.
GAUGAACGCUGGCGGCGUGCCUAAUACAUGCAAGUCGAGCGAACGGACGAGAAGCUUGCUUUUCUGAUGUUAGCGGCGGACGGGUGAGUAACACGUGGAUAACCUACCUAUAAGACUGGGAUAACUUCGGGAAACCGGAGCUAAUACCGGAUAAUAUUUUGAACCGCAUGGUUCAAAAGUGAAAGACGGUCUUGCUGUCACUUAUAGAUGGAUCCGCGCUGCAUUAGCUAGUUGGUAAGGUAACGGCUUACCAAGGCAACGAUGCAUAGCCGACCUGAGAGGGUGAUCGGCCACACUGGAACUGAGACACGGUCCAGACUCCUACGGGAGGCAGCAGUAGGGAAUCUUCCGCAAUGGGCGAAAGCCUGACGGAGCAACGCCGCGUGAGUGAUGAAGGUCUUCGGAUCGUAAAACUCUGUUAUUAGGGAAGAACAUAUGUGUAAGUAACUGUGCACAUCUUGACGGUACUUAAUCAGAAAGCCACGGCUAACUACGUG